AUAUCAAUAAGCGGAGGAAAAGAAACUAACAAGGAUUCCCUUAGUAGCGGCGAGCGAAGCGGGAAGAGCUCAAAUUUGAAAGCUGGCGUCCUUCGGGCGUCCGCAUUGUAAUCUAUAGAGGCGUUUUCUGUGCUGGACCGUGUCCAAGUCCCUUGGAACAGGGUAUCAAAGAGGGUGACAAUCCCGUACUUGACACGACAACCAGUGCUCUGUGAUACGUCUUCUACGAGUCGAGUUGUUUGGGAAUGCAGCUCAAAAUGGGUGGUGAAUUCCAUCUAAAGCUAAAUAUUGGCGAGAGACCGAUAGCGAACAAGUACCGUGAGGGAAAGAUGGAAAGCACUUUGGAAAGAGAGUUAAACAGUACGUGAAAUUGUUGAAAGGGAAACGUUUGAAGUCAGUCGCGUCGGCCGAGACUCAACCUUGCUUCUGCUCGGUGCACUUCUCGGUUGACGGGUCAGCAUCAAUUUUGACCGCCGGAUAAAGGUCGGGGGAAUGUGGCAUCCUUCGGGAUGUGUUAUAGACCUCGAUUCGGAUACGGCGAUUGGGAUUGAGGAACUCGGCGCUUUGCGUCCAGGAUGCUGGCAUAAUGGCUUUAAGCGA
This 600-nucleotide ribosomal RNA is filed under the name uncultured fungus. Its description in RNAcentral is "eukaryotic LSU rRNA". It matches the Rfam family "Eukaryotic large subunit ribosomal RNA", at positions 40 to 647 of the family's 3401-position model. Lineage: Eukaryota; Fungi. The record is from RNAcentral.